UACGGAGGGUGCGAGCGUUGUCCGGAUUUAUUGGGUUUAAAGGGUGCGUAGGCGGCCCGUUAAGUCCGGGGUGAAAGCCCACUGCUCAACAGUGGAACGGCCCUGGAUACUGGCGGGCUUGAAUCCAGUCGAGGGUGGCGGAAUAGAGGCUGUAGCGGUGAAAUGCAUAGAUAGCCUCUAGAACACCGAUUGCGAAGGCAGCUGCCUAGACUGGUAUUGACGCUCAGGCACGAAAGCGUGGGGAG
This 245-nucleotide ribosomal RNA is filed under the name uncultured Hymenobacter sp. RNAcentral describes it as "partial 16S ribosomal RNA". It matches the Rfam family "Bacterial small subunit ribosomal RNA", at positions 524 to 768 of the family's 1533-position model. Lineage: Bacteria; Pseudomonadati; Bacteroidota; Cytophagia; Cytophagales; Hymenobacteraceae. The record is from RNAcentral.